GACGAACGCUGGCGGCGUGCUUAACACAUGCAAGUCGAGCGGUAAGGCCCGGUUUUGCUGGGUACACGAGCGGCGAACGGGUGAGUAACACGUGGGUGACCUGCCCUCAGCUCUGGGAUAAGCCUGGGAAACCGGGUCUAAUACUGGAUAUGACUCCAUGACGCAUGUUGUGGGGUGGAAAGCCUUGUGCGGCUGAGGAUGGGCCCGCGGCCUAUCAGCUUGUUGGUGGGGNGAUGGCCUACCAAGGCGACGACGGGUAGCCGGCCUGAGAGGGCGACCGGCCACACUGGGACUGAGACACGGCCCAGACUCCUACGGGAAGCAGCAGUGGGGAAUCUUGCGCAAUGGGCGAAAGCCUGACGCAGCGACGCCGCGUGAGGGAUGACGGCCUGG
RNAcentral lists this ribosomal RNA (393 nucleotides) under uncultured bacterium. Its description in RNAcentral is "bacterial SSU rRNA". It matches the Rfam family "Bacterial small subunit ribosomal RNA", at positions 28 to 419 of the family's 1533-position model. The record is from RNAcentral.